AUUCAGCUGACGAGUCCCAACUAAGACGAAACAUGCAUCCUGAAU
Molecule: non-coding RNA, 45 nt
Filed under: Schistosoma mansoni
Lineage: Eukaryota; Metazoa; Platyhelminthes; Trematoda; Strigeidida; Schistosomatidae
Source: RNAcentral